Molecule: ribosomal RNA, 361 nt
Filed under: Clostridioides difficile
Lineage: Bacteria; Bacillati; Bacillota; Clostridia; Peptostreptococcales; Peptostreptococcaceae
Description: partial 23S ribosomal RNA
Rfam family: Bacterial large subunit ribosomal RNA
Source: RNAcentral
CGUAAACUUUGAUCCGAAGAUUUCCGAAUGAGGAAACUCACUUAGAGUAAUGUCUAAGUAUCAUUAAGUGAAUACAUAGCUUAAUGAGGGGAACUCAGGGAACUGAAACAUCUAAGUACCUGAAGGAAGAGAAAGAAAUUCGAUUCCGUAAGUAGCGGCGAGCGAACGCGGAUUAGCCCAAACCAAUAAAGUUUUCUUUAUUGGGGUUGCGGACAUAUCAUAACGAAGAGGUAUCGUAAUUGAAGAGGUUUGGAAAGACUCACCACAGAAGGUAAUAGUCCUGUAUGUUAAACGAGAAGACUUCAGAUAUGAUCCAGAGUACCACGGGACACGUGAAACCCUGUGGGAAGCAGGAGGGACC